RNAcentral lists this ribosomal RNA (253 nucleotides) under uncultured bacterium. RNAcentral describes it as "partial 16S ribosomal RNA". It matches the Rfam family "Bacterial small subunit ribosomal RNA", at positions 524 to 776 of the family's 1533-position model. The record is from RNAcentral.
UACGGAGGGUGCAAGCGUUAUCCGGAUUCACUGGGUUUAAAGGGUGCGUAGGCGGGCAGGUAAGUCAGUGGUGAAAUCUCCGAGCUUAACUCGGAAACUGCCGUUGAUACUAUUUGUCUUGAAUAUUGUGGAGGUAAGCGGAAUAUGUCAUGUAGCGGUGAAAUGCUUAGAUAUGACAUAGAACACCAAUUGCGAAGGCAGCUUACUAGACAACGAUUGACGCUGAGGCACGAAAGUGUGGGGAGCAAACAGG